This 1493-nucleotide ribosomal RNA is filed under the name Lactiplantibacillus plantarum. Its description in RNAcentral is "bacterial SSU rRNA". It matches the Rfam family "Bacterial small subunit ribosomal RNA". Lineage: Bacteria; Bacillati; Bacillota; Bacilli; Lactobacillales; Lactobacillaceae. The record is from RNAcentral.
GGCGGGUGCUAUACAUGCAAGUCGAACGAACUCUGGUAUUGAUUGGUGCUUGCAUCAUGAUUUACAUUUGAGUGAGUGGCGAACUGGUGAGUAACACGUGGGAAACCUGCCCAGAAGCGGGGGAUAACACCUGGAAACAGAUGCUAAUACCGCAUAACAACUUGGACCGCAUGGUCCGAGCUUGAAAGAUGGCUUCGGCUAUCACUUUUGGAUGGUCCCGCGGCGUAUUAGCUAGAUGGUGGGGUAACGGCUCACCAUGGCAAUGAUACGUAGCCGACCUGAGAGGGUAAUCGGCCACAUUGGGACUGAGACACGGCCCAAACUCCUACGGGAGGCAGCAGUAGGGAAUCUUCCACAAUGGACGAAAGUCUGAUGGAGCAACGCCGCGUGAGUGAAGAAGGGUUUCGGCUCGUAAAACUCUGUUGUUAAAGAAGAACAUAUCUGAGAGUAACUGUUCAGGUAUUGACGGUAUUUAACCAGAAAGCCACGGCUAACUACGUGCCAGCAGCCGCGGUAAUACGUAGGUGGCAAGCGUUGUCCGGAUUUAUUGGGCGUAAAGCGAGCGCAGGCGGUUUUUUAAGUCUGAUGUGAAAGCCUUCGGCUCAACCGAAGAAGUGCAUCGGAAACUGGGAAACUUGAGUGCAGAAGAGGACAGUGGAACUCCAUGUGUAGCGGUGAAAUGCGUAGAUAUAUGGAAGAACACCAGUGGCGAAGGCGGCUGUCUGGUCUGUAACUGACGCUGAGGCUCGAAAGUAUGGGUAGCAAACAGGAUUAGAUACCCUGGUAGUCCAUACCGUAAACGAUGAAUGCUAAGUGUUGGAGGGUUUCCGCCCUUCAGUGCUGCAGCUAACGCAUUAAGCAUUCCGCCUGGGGAGUACGGCCGCAAGGCUGAAACUCAAAGGAAUUGACGGGGGCCCGCACAAGCGGUGGAGCAUGUGGUUUAAUUCGAAGCUACGCGAAGAACCUUACCAGGUCUUGACAUACUAUGCAAAUCUAAGAGAUUAGACGUUCCCUUCGGGGACAUGGAUACAGGUGGUGCAUGGUUGUCGUCAGCUCGUGUCGUGAGAUGUUGGGUUAAGUCCCGCAACGAGCGCAACCCUUAUUAUCAGUUGCCAGCAUUAAGUUGGGCACUCUGGUGAGACUGCCGGUGACAAACCGGAGGAAGGUGGGGAUGACGUCAAAUCAUCAUGCCCCUUAUGACCUGGGCUACACACGUGCUACAAUGGAUGGUACAACGAGUUGCGAACUCGCGAGAGUAAGCUAAUCUCUUAAAGCCAUUCUCAGUUCGGAUUGUAGGCUGCAACUCGCCUACAUGAAGUCGGAAUCGCUAGUAAUCGCGGAUCAGCAUGCCGCGGUGAAUACGUUCCCGGGCCUUGUACACACCGCCCGUCACACCAUGAGAGUUUGUAACACCCAAAGUCGGUGGGGUAACCUUUUAGGAACCAGCCGCCUAAGGUGGGACAGAUGAUUAGGGUGAAGUCGUAACAAGACCU